GCACUGGUGGUUCAGCGGUAGAAUUUUCACCUUCCACAUGGGAGACCUGGGUUCGAUUCCCGGCCAAUGCA
This 71-nucleotide transfer RNA is filed under the name Loxodonta africana (African savanna elephant). It matches the Rfam family "tRNA". Rfam says of the family: Transfer RNA (tRNA) molecules are approximately 80 nucleotides in length. The record is from Rfam by way of RNAcentral. Lineage: Eukaryota; Metazoa; Chordata; Mammalia; Proboscidea; Elephantidae.